UUUGGUCAUCAUUGCGAUGGAGAUACACCUGUUCCCAUGUCGAACACAGAAGUUAAGUCCAUCUACGGCGGAAGUACUUGGGGGUUGCCCCUU
This 93-nucleotide ribosomal RNA is filed under the name Lactococcus lactis RTB018. The record is from RNAcentral. Lineage: Bacteria; Bacillati; Bacillota; Bacilli; Lactobacillales; Streptococcaceae.